GACGAACGCUGGCGGCGUGCCUAAUACAUGCAAGUCGAACGGUCUUUUCUAUGGAAGCUUGCUUCCACUGAGAAGAUAGUGGCGAACGGGUGAGUAACACGUGGGUAACCUGCCCAUAAGAGGGGGAUAACAUCCGGAAACGGGUGCUAAUACCGCAUAGUUUUCUUGAUCGCAUGAUCGGGAAAGGAAGACGGCCUUUGUGCUGUCGCUUAUGGAUGGACCCGCGGCGUAUUAGUUAGUUGGUGAGGUAAUGGCUCACCAAGACGAUGAUACGUAGCCGACCUGAGAGGUGAUCGGCCACAUUGGGACUGAGACACGGCCCAAACUCCUACGGGAGGCAGCAGUAGGGAAUCUUCCGCAAUGGACGAAAGUCUGACGGAGCAACGCCGCGUGAGUGAAGAAGGUUUUCGGAUCGUAAAACUCUGUUGUCAGAGAAGAACAAGUUAGGAGAGUAACUGCUCCAGCCUUGACGGUAUCUGACCAGAAAGCCACGGCUAACUACGUGCCG
Molecule: ribosomal RNA, 508 nt
Filed under: uncultured bacterium
Lineage: Bacteria
Description: bacterial SSU rRNA
Rfam family: Bacterial small subunit ribosomal RNA
Source: RNAcentral